AGAGUUUGAUCCUGGCUCAGGAUGAACGCUGGCGGCGUGCCUAAUACAUGCAAGUCGAACGAGGUGCUUUUGUAGCAAUACGAGAGUAUCCUAGUGGCGAACGGGUGAGUAACGCGUUGGUGACCUGCCCCAAAGUGUGGGAUAACAGUCCGAAAGGAUUGCUAAUACCUCAUGUGGCCAUCGGGUUUAGAAACCGAUGUCUAAAGCAGCAGUGCGCUUUGGGAGGGACCUGCGUCCCAUCAGCUAGUUGGUGAGGUAACGGCUCACCAAGGCGACGACGGGUAGGGGGCCUGAGAGGGUGGCCCCCCACAAUGGAACUGAAACACGGUCCAUACACCUACGGGUGGCAGCAGUAGGGAAUAUUGCACAAUGGGCGAAAGCCUGAUGCAGCAACGCCGCGUGAGCGAUGAAGGCCUUCGGGUCGUAAAGCUCUUUUCUGGGAGAUGAGAAAGGACAGUAUCCCAGGAAUAAGUCUCGGCUAACUACGUGCCAGCAGCCGCGGUAAAACGUAGGAGGCAAGCGUUAUCCGGAUUCACUGGGCGUAAAGCGCGUGCAGGCGGUUUGGUAAGUUGGGCGUGAAAUCUCCCGGCUCAACUGGGAGGGGUCGUUCAAUACUACCAGACUCGAGAGCGAUAGAGGAAAAUGGAAUUCCCGGUGUAGUGGUGAAAUGCGUAGAUAUCGGGAGGAACACCAGUGGCGAAAGCGAUUUUCUGGAUCGUUUCUGACGCUCAGACGCGAAAGCUAGGGUAGCAAACGGGAUUAGAGACCCCGGUAGUCCUAGCUGUAAACGAUGUGAACUUGGCGUUGGUGGCUUAAACUCCAUCAGUGCCGAAGCUAACGCGAUAAGUUCACCGCCUGGGGACUACGGCCGCAAGGUUAAAACUCAAAGGAAUUGACGGG
Molecule: ribosomal RNA, 900 nt
Filed under: uncultured bacterium
Lineage: Bacteria
Description: bacterial SSU rRNA
Rfam family: Bacterial small subunit ribosomal RNA
Source: RNAcentral